Molecule: transfer RNA, 72 nt
Filed under: Gemmatimonadaceae bacterium
Lineage: Bacteria; Pseudomonadati; Gemmatimonadota; Gemmatimonadia; Gemmatimonadales; Gemmatimonadaceae
Description: tRNA-Arg
Rfam family: tRNA
About the family: Transfer RNA (tRNA) molecules are approximately 80 nucleotides in length. Their secondary structure includes four short double-helical elements and three loops (D, anti-codon, and T loops).
Source: RNAcentral
GCGCCCGUAGCUCAACGGAGAGAGUACGAGCUUGCGGAGCUUGUGAUCGAGGUUCGAUUCCUCGCGGGCGCA